This 255-nucleotide ribosomal RNA is filed under the name uncultured bacterium. RNAcentral describes it as "partial 16S ribosomal RNA". It matches the Rfam family "Bacterial small subunit ribosomal RNA", at positions 524 to 776 of the family's 1533-position model. The record is from RNAcentral.
UACGUAGGGUGCAAGCGUUGUCCGGAAUUAUUUGGGCGUAAAGAGCUCGUAGGCGGUUUGUCGCGUCUGCUGUGAAAACGCGGGGCUCAACUCCGCGCCUGCAGUGGGUACGGGCAGACUAGAGUGCAGUAGGGGAGACUGGAAUUCCUGGUGUAGCGGUGGAAUGCGCAGAUAUCAGGAGGAACACCGGUGGCGAAGGCGGGUCUCUGGGCUGUAACUGACGCUGGAGGAGCGAAAGCGUGGGUAGCGAACAGG